CAGGGAUGCUGGUUCCUGUGUGACUG
This 26-nucleotide non-coding RNA is filed under the name Homo sapiens (human). Lineage: Eukaryota; Metazoa; Chordata; Mammalia; Primates; Hominidae. The record is from RNAcentral.